Sinocyclocheilus anshuiensis is the source of this 128-nucleotide long non-coding RNA. RefSeq lists it as uncharacterized. The record is from RefSeq and is a predicted model, not a curated record. NCBI's taxonomy places the organism in Eukaryota, Metazoa, Chordata, Actinopteri, Cypriniformes, Cyprinidae. The transcript is spliced from 3 exons.
UUUCUUACAUUUGUUCUUAAGUUGACGGAAUUGAGUUGUCUAAUGUUCUAUAUUGAUCUGGGGCCAUAUUCGCCAAAAAUCUGAAGGCUAAAAGUUGCUCCUAAUGCAUAAAUUUAAAAACAUGAGGC